CCUACGGGUGGCAGCAGUGAGGAAUAUUGGUCAAUGGGCGCGAGCCUGAACCAGCCAAGUAGCGUGAAGGAUGACUGCCCUACGGGUUGUAAACUUCUUUUAUAAAGGAAUAAAGUGAGGCUCGUGCGCCUUUUUGUAUGUACUUUAUGAAUAAGGAUCGGCAAACUCUGUGCCAGCAGCCGCGGGAAUACGGAGGAUCCGAGGGUUAUCCGGAUUUAUGGGGUUAAAAGGGAGCGUAGAUGGGUUGUUAAGUCAGUUGUGAAAGUUUGCGGCUAAACCGUAAAAGUGCAAUUGAUACUGGCAGCCUUGAGUACAGUUGAGGUAGGCGAAAUUCGUGGUGUAGCGGUGAAAUGCU
RNAcentral lists this ribosomal RNA (355 nucleotides) under uncultured bacterium. RNAcentral describes it as "partial 16S ribosomal RNA". It matches the Rfam family "Bacterial small subunit ribosomal RNA", at positions 338 to 690 of the family's 1533-position model. The record is from RNAcentral.